Molecule: long non-coding RNA, 3286 nt
Organism: Manis pentadactyla (Chinese pangolin)
Lineage: Eukaryota; Metazoa; Chordata; Mammalia; Pholidota; Manidae
Exons: 5
Source: RefSeq, a predicted model, not a curated record
CCAGGACAGAAACAGCCGAGCUCUCCGCCCAGGGAGCGCUGAGGAGUUUAAUUCAAGAUGAAAUGUGUUCUUGUUUGUGUACAAUUAAUUUUCCUCCCAAAUGAAGGGUUUUAUCUGUCAGUCGAGUGUUUGAAUAGCAACCGCGUAAUUAAGGUAGCAUGUGCCUCUGCAGUUGCAAAACAGGCUGUUUGUGUGAACUUGUUGGGGAAGCAAACAUAGCUUGGGGUGCUUCCUGGGUCUAAGAAGAAAAAAGAGAAGAGGCAAACACCUCCAAAGAGACUGGGCUCCUGCAGCGAUGACGUCAUCUGGACAAUGUGAGCAGGUCGGUCCUGAAUGAAGGGGCCCCCGGAACCCUGCUCUGCUCAGGGCAGCACAGGAGAGAACAGAGGUCGUACCCAGGGACUUUAAGAGCAGGAUCACGCCUACAGGGGCCAGAUGUAACAGAUCUGAGUCCUGUGUCCACAUCUCCUGGGGUUGCGUCUCUCAAGAUCCAGGUAGCAGAUGGGUCAGAGAUGGACACAGAGCGAGCAAAGCAGACUGAGGUGGCUGAGGGUUUGCUGACAGCUGGAGCCUCACAAGAGGAUGGGACCCACUUUUCGAAGCUGCUUCCUGAGGUGUACCUGGCCAGAAUCACAUGUCUAACCUCUUUGAAUUACCUGGGCACCCUAGCACUCCUGAGGCAAAUCGUUUCAGCACCCAGGACAGAUCCUCCCACACGGAAGGUCUUAAGGUCAAGGUGCCUGGCAGGUAAACAACAACUGAAACAAUUUCAAGUUCAUGGACAUCUUCUGCAAUCAGCAUCAACCACCCCAUCAAGGAAACGAGACCUUGAUAUUGUUGGAGAAGAAAACAAAUAGAGGGCUUCGAUGCAGAUGUGAAUCCAUGCCCAGGUGUUCCUGAGAACCAGCAUAGACUGAGAAAGAGAAGGCAGGGCUGAUAUUCCAGAUAAUCCUGGUUAAAAAGACACUUUUUGGAACCAUCAUAUCCAGGCACAGCUUGUAGAUCCCGCCAUAGGUUUUGCAUCCUGUCUUGUGAAUGAACCCCAAGGUCCAUGCCAACACUUAGUGGAAAAAGCAUCAUUGAAAUUCCUUGAGCCAAAGAGGAUGUGUUCAUGUCCCACCCCUGCCACCACCUGUGGGCUGGACAGACCAUCUUCCCUCCCUGGGUCUCAGUUUCCUCAUCUACAAACUACACGCUCCUUUUGACGUUCUUCGGUGUUGCCCGGUGCAAUAUAAAGGAGAUGGAAAUGAGAGAACCUGCUUCUGCUGGUGUUCCAAGAAGAGAACCUUGAUCUCAGAACAUCCAUAUGUAUCCUGGGGAGAAUGAAGCCUUAAAUUCACAAAUGAGUGGGAUAGGAAUCAUAGUCUUUAAUGGAACGUCAAAUUUUUAACUGUCCAAAAAUUCCAAAGAAAGGACUCUGAAUUAUGUAUGGAACCUUUAUGUUUUUUUUCUUUUUUGCAAUUGUAUUACUCAUUUGUUCGUGGGACACUUGGCUGAGCCAUUGUAAUUCACAGCUCGUUGGCUAAGUGCAGACACCAAUAACCAGGUGUUUUCUUCCUCUCAAACAGAACCCCGAUUUUGCUCAGAUGUUGGGAAGAAAUGUGCUCUCAAGCACCAGAGGAUGAAUUGUAGUAUGUCUAAGUCAAUCUCAUUUCCCUUUCCAGUGAUUGGUUUGGGGGGACAUCCUGAAUCAUGUUUAGUUGAUGCAAUAUAAGUUGGGAGUCUUUUUGGUGGGUGGGUUCUGGGUUCCCUUAUUGAAAGAGACAUGUGAGAAGUAACUCUCUCUUUCGUAUUUUCUUUGCUAUUGUUAUGAGGGAGAGGAUGAGAAGUCAGGCAAUGUUGCAGCCACCUUGUAUGAGGGCACAAGCCUGAGGACACAGUCAGCUCACCGAGGAAGGGAAAGCAGAAACGGGAGACCACCACGUCCUUGCUGUUGUGGAGGGCCUCUCUGGGGUAUAAACCUGCCCCUGGACGUGCAGACAUUUUCAUUCUGAGAAGGACUACCUCUCUCCAAAUUCACACCCCCAUUAGCAGGAGCCAACAGGUUAUCUAGGAGCACCUUGGCCUCCAGAUAAGACCACCCCUUUCCUGGCCCACACCUCCACUGACAAAAGCCAGUAGGAAGACCCACAACUCUGUGUGACCCUAGAAAUAUCUCUACUCUCUUUUCCCUAAAUACACAAGCUCACCCCAUAUUCCAUCCUGAGACCUUCAGAAUUAAUCGCAUGAUACUUUCUGUUCCCAUUAAAGCCGGUUUCUUCAUGCAGCCAGGACUCCUGGGGCAUCCUUUGUCCCCUGGACUCCCGUUGUCACGUGACUCAGUGGGAAAUGAGGCUGAAACCCUACUUCUCUGCUUUGUUUUUCUCCACUGCCUCAUUCCUGUCUGCCUCACAGUCUUCUCCAGUGACCAGGAUGACGGAACUUUGGUCCAGGUCUCCUAAAGAAGAGCCUGAGGCCAACCUGGAGAUGUAAUGCUUUCGUGGAAGGUGCAGCCCCAGGACAUCAAGAGCGAGGAAGAGGGAAGCGAGGUGUGGGAGACUGAGCAGCAAUCACCGAGCCGGUGGCUGCCUCACAGAGACGCGGCAGUCACCUUAUCCCAUGGACUCUCUGCAGGCCAGCUGUGCAGAGGUCUGCUCCUCAAGGGAGUCCAUAGAGGAAGGCAAGGAGAGGCCAGUCACUGCCGGCCCCUCUUCUCCCCUGUCCCUUGGUGGUCAGAGGUCCGUCUCCAGGGCCGUACUGUACCCAUCACUGCAGCUUCCUUCGCCUGGCUCCUCCCACAGUGGUUGAGGAAACCAGAUCCCACACUGGUUAUGGCCCCUUAUCUGAGUCCAGAAUUGGUGAAAGGAUCAAGAAACUUGGGGUGCUGGUCUCAGGCAAUGUGUAGUGUAAGCCCUGAAAUGAAGGUGCCCUAUUAAUACUGCCUGGACGCCUUUGAGCUUCCUGGGGCCUCAAAGGCCUAACCACGAGUCCCCCUACUCUAUCAGAUACGCCCUCCACCCAGGGGGAAAUCUUUCCACCUGGCUAUUUCCCCUAUCAGAGGCUAUUUCCUCUACCUGAUCUUCAACCUAACCGUUUUCACUUUCCCAAGAGCCUGUGGAAUUAUCCAAACAAGACAAUCACAUCAUCCCAUGGGACCUAGGGGCCACCUCAUCCUUUUGUUACUACCAAGCCUGCCUACUACUCCCCCUGAUGGCUCAUUCUGUUCCCUAGUGCAGCCCCCAUGUGGAUAUGCAUGAGGUGAAGUGUAUGACACCCCGGGCUUUGAGUAUAUGUGACUAAUAAACCA